UACGGAGGGUGCAAGCGUUACUCGGAAUCACUGGGCGUAAAGCGUGUGUAGGUGGCUUCAUAAGUCUGGUGUGAAAGCCCGGGGCUCAACCCCGGAAGUGCAUUGGAUACUGUGAAGCUGGAGUAUGGGAGAGGAGAGUGGAAUUCCAGGUGUAGAGGUGAAAUUCGUAGAUAUUCGCAAGAACACCAGUGGCGAAGGCGGCUCACUGGCCCGGUACUGACGCUGAGGUGCGAAAGCGUGGGGAGCAAACAGG
Molecule: ribosomal RNA, 253 nt
Filed under: uncultured bacterium
Lineage: Bacteria
Description: partial 16S ribosomal RNA
Rfam family: Bacterial small subunit ribosomal RNA
Source: RNAcentral